UGGUUGUACUUGGACCUGGCAAACACAGUUUUAUUUCAGAGACUGAGACCUAAUCGACUAGCUCGUACCUAUUAUACAAGUAUGCUAUAAACAUGGUCUAGGCGGCACAAGUGGCGCAGGUGCAACCUUCCCCACAGGUGCAAAAGGCCUUGCCGACCUUAGCGGAGGUCUGGGUCUUGGCGCAGGUGCAAGGGUUGCAGCCGCAGUGCUCCCCGCACGGGCACAUGUUGUGUUCUUGAUCCCCACCAGAUGCUGCGCUCAUCCUGCACCUACAUGGACUCCAACGUUCUUUUUUAAGUUGAACAAAAUACAUCAAUUCUUGAGAGCAUAUAGAAGAGUAGAAACCUGCAGGAUUCUCCACCUGGACAGGGAGAUGGGCAGCCACAGCGACUGUUGCCCGUGUUGUGGGUUUAGUUAUGCGUGGAAGCGCGUGGAGAGGAACGUCACUAAAUUGGACCAACUUGCUUGAAAAGAAGUUAUGAAAGACCCCAUACGGCUUUCGCUUUUAUUGCACAACCUCCGAAACCAUUUCGCGUUUAACGUCUAGAGACGGGAGUUGAUAAAAAAAAAAAGACAUAGAGACGGGACAAAAGAAAGAGCCAGACACGACACUAGCGUCUCUGUUUUAUUGCUGCUUACCUCUAUUAUUCUGUCACAAAGGAAAAACCAAGGAGAGAAGAUCCAAUUGAGAGACAUGCAUGCAAAGACGGACUCCGAGGCCACUAGCAUUGACGCGGCUUUGUCAUGGCCGCCGCGCUCUCCGCCCCGUUCGGCGACUAGACCUCUUUACUAUGUACAGAGUCCCUCCAACCACGACGUGGAGAAGAUGUCAUUUGGGUCCGGUUGCAGCCCGAUGGGUUCUCCCUCACACCCACAUUACUACCACUGCUCACCCAUCCAUCACUCCCGUGAAUCCUCCACCUCUCGCUUCUCUGACCGAGCACUCCUCUCCUACCAGUCAAUCCGCGAAGGAAGCGGACGCCGUCGUUACAUCAACAGCGCCAUCGACGAAGAAACUGACGACGGAGAUGACGACCCCUUUCGAAAUGUGCGUCUCUACGGCUGCUUGCUCCUCUCCUUGUUCCUCUUGUUCUCAAUCUUCUCUCUCAUACUGUGGGGUGCUAGCAAAUCCUACCCUCCUAAAGUUGUGGUAAAGGUAACAAUAACUAUCGCUCUUUUCUUCACUCGGUGACUCGGGCUGAGUUAAGAGUAGAGUCGACUCGUCUAGUGGAUAGGUGUUCGGUUUCACUUUCUUCGGUUUCACUUUCCUUAAAAGAAACAAUCUGAAAAAGGCCAACAAUGAAAAAUAGUAUAAUACUAGUGUUAUGUCCCGUACUAGCGUACGGGCACAAAAAUUAAUAUUACUCAUAUCUUACGAAACUUGAGUUUAUGUAACUGAUGAGAUCCUCAACAAAAUUUCCUUCCUGAUAAACUGUGUUGGAUCUGAUCCAUUAAAAAUGAUUUGGAUUAUCUAGUCUAGUGUUGCGUCAGAAAAAUUCACUCGUACUUGUGUGGACAUAGUUUUGACUAUCUCAUACCAACUGCACCAGUUAGUCUAGUGUUGCGUCAGAAAAAUUCACUCGCGCUAGUGUUAUAUUUUUUUUGCGUCAAUGGUUAAAACAAACAGAUUUAGUUCACAAUCUAUACCUCAUAUAUUGUAUUGCACAUAAUUCAUUUCAUUUGUUGCAGAGAAAUAUGAUGGAGCAAUAUAUGAAAAAGUAGCAAUAGCAGAAAAUAGAGAAAACGAAAAAUUAAAGAAAAAACAGUUAUAGAAGAUGAAACAGUUUAAAGUCAUGUUAUGAUUUGAGAGAGUGACGAUUUGAUAGUGAUUUUUUGUAACUUUUUCAUCUUCUAUAACUGAGUUUUUUUUCUUUAUUUCUCUCUCUAUCGUUUCUUAUUCUUGAUAAUGUUUCCCAGCUUUUCAAUAUUCAACAAAAAUCAGUAUAGGUUUUUGAGUACUCUAUUCAUAUUCCUUUUGUUUGGUUUAUCCCUAGAUUUAGAGAUUAAGAAUCUAAAAUAUGUUUUUGCCAAAGCCAAUUUCUUCUCUUAUGUUUUUGCCAUAUAAUUUUAAUUAAAUAUAAUGUAGAUCAAAAUUUAUGGAAGAAAAAAGCUUUUUGAAGUGGUGAAAACUAAUUUGAACGUGGGAUGAGAUUAGAUGAGAUCUUUGAGAAAAUAUAGGACUUUAGAUAUUUGAAGUUGCAAAAAAUGAAACUGACGUUAAGAUUUUUUUCAUUUUUCUUUUUGGUAAAACAUUAUCCAUGUGUCAGAAUUUUAGUGGGCAAGUAUUUUAGUGGGUAAGUGACUUGUGCUUUAGUAUAUAAAAGAUUCUUUUUUAAAAAUAAAUAAGUAAAAUAGAUUAACAAGUAAACAAAGUGUGGAAUGAGAGACAAGUGUGCAUUUGAUUUGGGAGUUAGAAUGUGAGCAAGUGUUAGACUGAAUAUAAAUACUUGCAGGGGAUGCUGGUGAGGAACUUUAACGUGCAGGCUGGUAACGAUCUUAGCGGUGUGCCCACUGACAUGCUGUCUCUUAAUUCGACUGUCAGGAUCUUCUACCGGAACCCCUCCACCUUCUUCGCCGUCCAUGUCACUGCUCUCCCUCUCCUCCUCCGCUACUCCAACCUCCUCCUUUCCUCCGGUGAGAUGGAGAAGUUCACGGUGGGUAGGAAAAGCGGAAGGAAUAUAGCCACGGUGGUGCAUGGCCAUCAGAUUCCCCUAUACGGCAGUGUCUCUCCCCAUCUCGACAAACUGUCCCUGCCCCUCAAUCUCACUCUCGUCCUCCGUUCCAGGGCUUACAUUUUAGGCAGACUCGUCACCUCCAAUUUCCAUACAAGGAUCAUUUGCUCUUUCACUCUUAAUGCCAACCGCCUUACCAAACCCAUGUCUCUUAUCCACUCAUGUACUCAUCACCACUGACACCACCUUGCACACUUUCUGUGUACUUUGGAUAUAUAUUUUUAUCUUUUGCAAUCAAUCAACAAAUUCUUCCAGGAAUAUUAUUGCUACGACCAAAAAAAAGGCGGUGCAACUCAUCACAUAUAGGUGAAAGCAGACAAGGUUUACAGUUUCCACCGAGUUUAUUAAUACUCAAUUGUGAAGAACAAUGAGCCAAGAUUCUACAAAAAGAAAAAAAAAAUUCAAAUAACAUAAUCGGUAAAUAUAUCUACAAAUAUACAGUAUACUAUGAGUAGAGUAGCCUUGGAAGUUGGAAUGAAGAGAACCUCCGGCGAUAAUCACUGGAGUAGUCUCUGUAUUACCAUCCAUACUUAGUAUUGUGUUUGCAUCCAUUAUUCUACGCAUGGAACGGGAAAUUUUGAACUUUAUGAAACGUAUUGUUGUGUGAUACUGUUAUCUUUCACAUAAGGAAAUUUUGAUUCGUUUGAUUUCUUUCAUUGAUAACCCUAUCUAUAAUAGUCUUUCAACAUAGACUCCAAAUCUAUGUUUAGACUCCACAAUUACAUUCAAAGAAUUUGAUAGAAUUCAUCACAUAUGUUACUGUAAAUGUAAAAGAAGGAAAAAGAGAGUGGAGGCAGAGGAAAGUCAAAAGGAAAACAGAGGAAAAGAAGAUUGAUAUGAUCUGUAAGCUGAGCUGGUCAAUUGAUAGAAAGGAGCAAAGACUCCUGGAUAAGCCACAAGUAGUAUAAAUAAGAAACACUGUACUUGAUUUACUGUUUCCCUAUGCGUUUUAUAUUUAUGUAUUUGUUUGUUUGUAAACAAGCAACACUGAUCUGUUUGUAAUAAGCUUUCUAUCAUUAGUAAAGGAGCUCCCAAUUCCAUAUUCUAUUAUCAGAGUUGCUCUAAAGGAUGUGAAAGUGCCGGUUUUCACUUUCUUGUUUGAUUAAUUCAAGAUUUGCUACUGUCUUCAGUUGCUGUAAAAUUUAGAUUCAUGGUUUCAUAUAUUAGCAGAACUUGUGGAGUCGGGGGUUGGGUUGUGCUGGGCUGGACAGGUGUUUCCACGUCAACCUUUGGUACACCAGAUCACAAACAACUCUUCCAUAUUUAAUAGGAGGUCCCUGCAGGCGAUUGGUCUUAGUGGGAGAGUUUCUCACUGUUUAGAAUGGUGUUACUAUGUGUUGUAUGAACAGAUAUCCUGUUCUUUUUUUUGAACGGAUAUCCUGUUCAAUUCAUAGAUCUUUUAUAUUCCAUUACCUUUUAUAUUCCAUUCGUAAUGUGAAAUACUUCACUAAAAUGUUCAUUUUUCCAAAAUAUCAAGUUUGACCAGGCUGGGGUGGUUACAUGCAUUUCACCAGCUUUCGUUUUGAGUUUGGGGCCUCCUUUCUGACUCAGUUAGUAGACUACUUUCCAAGUGAAGUUAUUUGGAAGAUUGAUAUGGUGAAAGUGGCCCUGGUGGUUCAUGCGUCCUUGAUACUCACAUCACCCAUUCCCAAGGUAUGUUUCCUUGGUCUUCAUAUUGGACUUUAGAUGCAAGCGUUUUCAGUACAAGAACAGAGAAUAAACGAUAUGUUUGGUUGUAUUUGGACCUGGCAAACACAGUUUUAUUCCAGAGACUGGGACCUAAUCGACUAGCUCGUACCCUAUUAUACAUGUAUGCUAUAAACAUGGUCUAAGCGGCACAAGAGGCGCAGGUGCAACCCUCCCCACAGGUGCAAAAGGCCUUGCCGCCCUUAGCGGACGUCUGGGUCUUGGAGCAUGUGCAAGGGUUGCAGCCGCAGUGCUCCCCACACGGGCACAUGUUGUGUUCUUGAUCCCCACCAGAUGCUGCGCUCAUCCUGCACCUACAUGGACUCCAACAACGUUCUUUUUUAAGUUGAACAAAACACAUCAAUUCAAGAGAGCAUAUAGAAGAGUAGAAACCUGCAGGAUUCUCCACCUGGACAGGGAGAUGGGCAGCCACAGCGAUCGUUGCAGCCAGCGACUGAGGUUCCUUUGCCUAUGUCUGCCAUUUCUUUUACCUCGC
This 4914-nucleotide long non-coding RNA is filed under the name Brassica napus (rape). RNAcentral describes it as "long non-coding RNA (BNAP_LNC013184)". Lineage: Eukaryota; Viridiplantae; Streptophyta; Magnoliopsida; Brassicales; Brassicaceae. The record is from RNAcentral.